AGAGUUUGAUCCUGGCUCAGGACGAACGCUGGCGGCGUGCCUAAUACAUGCAAGUCGAGCGGACAGAAGGGAGCUUGCUCCCGGAUGUUAGCGGCGGACGGGUGAGUAACACGUGGGUAACCUGCCUGUAAGACUGGGAUAACUCCGGGAAACCGGAGCUAAUACCGGAUAGUUCCUUGAACCGCAUGGUUCAAGGAUGAAAGACGGUUUCGGCUGUCACUUACAGAUGGACCCGCGGCGCAUUAGCUAGUUGGUGAGGUAACGGCUCACCAAGGCGACGAUGCGUAGCCGACCUGAGAGGGUGAUCGGCCACACUGGAACUGAGACACGGCCCAGACUCCUACGGGAGGCAGCAGUAGGGAAUCUUCCGCAAUGGACGAAAGUCUGACGGAGCAACGCCGCGUGAGUGAUGAAGGUUUUCGGAUCGUAAAGCUCUGUUGUUAGGGAAGAACAAGUGCAAGAGUAACUGCUUGCACCUUGACGGUACCUAACCAGAAAGCCACGGCUAACUACGUGCCAGCAGCCGCGGUAAUACGUAGGUGGCAAGCGUUGUCCGGAAUUAUUGGGCGUAAAGGGCUCGCAGGCGGUUUCUUAAGUCUGAUGUGAAAGCCCCCGGCUCAACCGGGGAGGGUCAUUGGAAACUGGGAAACUUGAGUGCAGAAGAGGAGAGUGGAAUUCCACGUGUAGCGGUGAAAUGCGUAGAGAUGUGGAGGAACACCAGUGGCGAAGGCGACUCUCUGGUCUGUAACUGACGCUGAGGAGCGAAAGCGUGGGGAGCGAACAGGAUUAGAUACCCUGGUAGUCCACGCCGUAAACGAUGAGUGCUAAGUGUUAGGGGGUUUCCGCCCCUUAGUGCUGCAGCUAACGCAUUAAGCACUCCGCCUGGGGAGUACGGUCGCAAGACUGAAACUCAAAGGAAUUGACGGGGGCCCGCACAAGCGGUGGAGCAUGUGGUUUAAUUCGAAGCAACGCGAAGAACCUUACCAGGUCUUGACAUCCUCUGACAACCCUAGAGAUAGGGCUUUCCCUUCGGGGACAGAGUGACAGGUGGUGCAUGGUUGUCGUCAGCUCGUGUCGUGAGAUGUUGGGUUAAGUCCCGCAACGAGCGCAACCCUUGAUCUUAGUUGCCAGCAUUUAGUUGGGCACUCUAAGGUGACUGCCGGUGACAAACCGGAGGAAGGUGGGGAUGACGUCAAAUCAUCAUGCCCCUUAUGACCUGGGCUACACACGUGCUACAAUGGACAGAACAAAGGGCUGCGAGACCGCAAGGUUUAGCCAAUCCCACAAAUCUGUUCUCAGUUCGGAUCGCAGUCUGCAACUCGACUGCGUGAAGCUGGAAUCGCUAGUAAUCGCGGAUCAGCAUGCCGCGGUGAAUACGUUCCCGGGCCUUGUACACACCGCCCGUCACACCACGAGAGUUUGUAACACCCGAAGUCGGUGAGGUAACCUUUAUGGAGCCAGCCGCCGAAGGUGGGACAGAUGAUUGGGGUGAAGUCGUAACAAGGUAGCCGU
RNAcentral lists this ribosomal RNA (1512 nucleotides) under Bacillus pumilus. RNAcentral describes it as "bacterial SSU rRNA". It matches the Rfam family "Bacterial small subunit ribosomal RNA". Lineage: Bacteria; Bacillati; Bacillota; Bacilli; Caryophanales; Bacillaceae. The record is from RNAcentral.